GGGCGAUAGCUGGGUUUAUCCGAGUGGGCGUUGGGAUUGUAAAUCCUCUCGCGUUAGCGUUCGGUGGUUCGAAUCCACCCGCGCCCA
Molecule: transfer RNA, 87 nt
Filed under: Phycisphaerales bacterium
Lineage: Bacteria; Pseudomonadati; Planctomycetota; Phycisphaerae; Phycisphaerales
Description: tRNA-OTHER
Source: RNAcentral